Molecule: ribosomal RNA, 373 nt
Filed under: uncultured bacterium
Lineage: Bacteria
Description: bacterial SSU rRNA
Rfam family: Bacterial small subunit ribosomal RNA
Source: RNAcentral
ACGUAGGGGGCAAGCGUUAUCCGGAUUUACUGGGUGUAAAGGGAGCGUAGACGGUGGAGCAAGUCUGGAGUGAAAGGCCGGGGCCCAACCCCGGGACUGCUUUGGAAACUGUUCGACUGGAGUACAGGAGGAGUAAGUGGAAUUCCUAGUGUAGCGGUGAAAUGCGUAGAUAUUAGGAGGAACACCAGUGGCGAAGGCGGCUUACUGGACUGUAACUGACGUUGAGGCUCGAAAGCGCGGGGAGCAAACAGGAUUAGAUACCCUGGUAGUCCACGCCGUAAACGAUGAUCACUAGGUGUCGGGGGUUAAAGAACCCCCGGUGCCGCCGCUAACGCAAUAAGUGAUCCACCUGGGGAGUACGUUCGCAAGAAUG